GACUCCUACGGGAGGCAGCAGUGGGGAAUAUUGCACAAUGGGCGCAAGCCUGAUGCAGCCAUGCCGCGUGUAUGAAGAAGGCCUUCGGGUUGUAAAGUACUUUCAGCGGGGAGGAAGGUGAUGAGGUUAAUAACCUCAGCAAUUGACGUUACCCGCAGAAGAAGCACCGGCUAACUCCGUGCCAGCAGCCGCGGUAAUACGGAGGGUGCAAGCGUUAAUCGGAAUUACUGGGCGUAAAGCGCACGCAGGCGGUCUGUCAAGUCGGAUGUGAAAUCCCCGGGCUCAACCUGGGAACUGCAUUCGAAACUGGCAGGCUAGAGUCUUGUAGAGGGGGGUAGAAUUCCAGGUGUAGCGGUGAAAUGCGUAGAGAUCUGGAGGAAUACCGGUGGCGAAGGCGGCCCCCUGGACAAAGACUGACGCUCAGGUCGAAA
Molecule: ribosomal RNA, 431 nt
Filed under: Enterobacter sp.
Lineage: Bacteria; Pseudomonadati; Pseudomonadota; Gammaproteobacteria; Enterobacterales; Enterobacteriaceae
Description: bacterial SSU rRNA
Rfam family: Bacterial small subunit ribosomal RNA
Source: RNAcentral